This 452-nucleotide ribosomal RNA is filed under the name uncultured bacterium. RNAcentral describes it as "bacterial SSU rRNA". It matches the Rfam family "Bacterial small subunit ribosomal RNA", at positions 8 to 507 of the family's 1533-position model. The record is from RNAcentral.
AGAGUUGAUCAUGGCUCAAGAACGAACGCUGGCGGCAUGCCUAACACAUGCAAGUCGAACGAGACCUUCGGGUCUAGUGGCGCACGGGUGCGUAACGCGUGGGAACCUGCCUUUAGGUUCGGAAUAACUCAGAGAAAUUUGAGCUAAUACCGGAUAAUGUCUUCGGACCAAAGAUUUAUCGCCUUUAGGUGGGCCCGCGUAAGAUUAGCUAGUUGGUGGGGUAAAGGCCUACCAAGGCGACGAUCUUUAGCUGGUCUGAGAGGAUGAUCAGCCACACUGGGACUGAGACACGGCCCAGACUCCUACGGGAGGCAGCAGUGGGGAAUAUUGGACAAUGGGCGAAAGCCUGAUCCAGCAAUGCCGCGUGAGUGAUGAAGGCCUUAGGGUUGUAAAGCUCUUUACCCGAGAUGAUAAUGACAGUAUCGGGAGAAUAAGCUCCGGCUAACUCCGUG